GCCCACGUAGCUCAGAUGGUAGAGCGCAUCCUUGGUAAGGAUGAGGUCACCGGUUCGAUUCCGGUCGUGGGCUCCA
Molecule: transfer RNA, 76 nt
Filed under: Desulfoprunum benzoelyticum
Lineage: Bacteria; Pseudomonadati; Thermodesulfobacteriota; Desulfobulbia; Desulfobulbales; Desulfobulbaceae
Also listed under: 4 other names
Description: tRNA-Thr
Rfam family: tRNA
About the family: Transfer RNA (tRNA) molecules are approximately 80 nucleotides in length. Their secondary structure includes four short double-helical elements and three loops (D, anti-codon, and T loops).
Source: RNAcentral